Notothenia coriiceps (black rockcod) is the source of this 232-nucleotide long non-coding RNA. RefSeq lists it as uncharacterized. Lineage: Eukaryota; Metazoa; Chordata; Actinopteri; Perciformes; Nototheniidae. The transcript has 3 exons. The record is from RefSeq and is a predicted model, not a curated record.
AGAUUUGGAGUAUGAGGAGCGCGAUGAGAGCAUCAGAGAUGAAUAGAUUUACCAGAACCCACAUGACCUCUCCCAUGUUUUUCCAAAGCAUGGGCACAGCCCCUUACUUUAAGGUGACUGUGUUUGAGCGGGAGCAUUUCCGGGGAAAGUGUAUAGAGUUCACCUCCGAGUGCUGCAACAUCCACAACUGCGGCCUGGACAACAUUCGCUCCAUCAGAGUGGAGAGUGGAGC